CCUCUUUUGAAAGAUAAAUCUUUCUUCUUUGGCAAGAAUCUGGAAUUAUUUCAAUUUCUUCUUCAUAUCGAAAUCUUCUGCCCUAAUUCUGUCUGUCGUCCUUCAGCCUUACGAAAUCUUCAUCACAAAGGUGAAGUUAGAAUUGAUGACAACGUUUUCGGAGAAAGGUCUGGUGGCAAGAAGAAAGACUUUCAGGCGUAGAGCGGAAACUGCUGGAGAGGUGGAGGCUUGCAAGCGAUGUAACUGUAAGAAAUCCAAGUUUUUGAGGCUGUAUGUGACUUUGUUGAAGAAGCAACCAGUGAUAGUGUUUUGGUGGAAAACUUGGAGGGGUCGGUGACGUUGUCGAGGUUGUCAGGAAAUGCAAAGUGAUAGCAUUUCCUAACAACCCUCGACAAUGUCACCGACCUCCUAAUCUGAGCGUGACCCUCUUAAAAUAUAAUGUUUUGCAACUUCACCAUGAAUAGAGAAGAAAGAGACAGUUGGGGUUCUUGCUCCAGUUGUGUUGCAGCCGAAUCAAUGGCAAAUUCAGCAGCAGUAGUUGUUGAUGCAUGAAUAUGAAGAUUGAAUUUGUGAGGUUCAGUUAAUAAUCGACUCAUUGAAGUUAUAUUAUUUA
Long non-coding RNA from Helianthus annuus (common sunflower), 613 nucleotides. RefSeq lists it as uncharacterized. Lineage: Eukaryota; Viridiplantae; Streptophyta; Magnoliopsida; Asterales; Asteraceae. The record is from RefSeq and is a predicted model, not a curated record. The transcript is spliced from 3 exons.